GGAAGGGCAUCGUCUCCGGUGGGGCGGCCGGGCUUCAAACCCGGUUGGGGGUGUCAGACGCUCCCGGGUGGGUUCGACUCCCGCACCCUUCCGCCA
Molecule: transfer RNA, 96 nt
Filed under: Allochromatium humboldtianum
Lineage: Bacteria; Pseudomonadati; Pseudomonadota; Gammaproteobacteria; Chromatiales; Chromatiaceae
Also listed under: 1 other name
Description: tRNA-Sec
Rfam family: Selenocysteine transfer RNA
Source: RNAcentral